UCCCACACCUGGGAAGGCAGAGGCCGGGAGUGGGCGGGGCCGAGGCUGUGUUAAACAUGGACACAGGUGCGGCCAGGCCGGGACAAGGGAGGAGCCUUCUUGGUCACUCCUGAGGCACACAUGAAAGGCUGAGCUGAGCAAGCGGAGGUCUGGCUUUCCCCAGGAGCGGACGGGUCAGAGGGAGCCCCUGGCGUGUGGGGUACACCCCAGGAGCGGACGGGUCAGAGGGAGCCCCUGGCGUGUGGGGUACACCCCAGGAGUGGACGGGUCAGGGGGAGCCCUGGCGUGUGGGGUACACCCCAGGAGUGGACGGGUCAGGGGAGCCCUGGCGUGUGGGGUACACCCCAGGAGUGGACGGGUCAGGGGGAGCCCCUGGUGAGUGGGGGUACACCCCAGGAGUGGACGGGUCAGGGGGAGCCCUGGCGUGUGGGGGUACACCCCAGGAGCGGACGGGUCAGGGGGAGCCC
This is a non-coding RNA of Oryctolagus cuniculus (rabbit), 467 nucleotides long. NCBI's taxonomy places the organism in Eukaryota, Metazoa, Chordata, Mammalia, Lagomorpha, Leporidae. The record is from RefSeq and is a predicted model, not a curated record.